Molecule: small nucleolar RNA, 136 nt
Filed under: Aotus nancymaae (Ma's night monkey)
Lineage: Eukaryota; Metazoa; Chordata; Mammalia; Primates; Aotidae
Description: U8 small nucleolar RNA (ENSANAG00000003145.1)
Rfam family: U8 small nucleolar RNA
About the family: U8 is a member of the C/D class of snoRNA which contain the C (UGAUGA) and D (CUGA) box motifs. U8 is the RNA component of a small complex (the U8 snoRNP) which is required for accumulation of mature large subunit ribosomal RNAs, 5.8S and 28S rRNAs.
Source: Rfam by way of RNAcentral
UGGUCAGGUGGAAUAAUCCUUAUCUGCUGCUUCUUUUGAAGGGCAGAUUAGAACAUGAUAAUUGGAGAUCACAUGAUACAUGACUAAAGGUUCUGUGUAAUCAGGGUUUACAAUAUCCUGAUUAUUCCUAUCUUAC